Molecule: ribosomal RNA, 772 nt
Filed under: Staphylococcus aureus
Lineage: Bacteria; Bacillati; Bacillota; Bacilli; Caryophanales; Staphylococcaceae
Description: partial 23S ribosomal RNA
Rfam family: Bacterial large subunit ribosomal RNA
Source: RNAcentral
UAAGGGCGCACGGUGGAUGCCUUGGCACUAGAAGCCGAUGAAGGACGUUACUAACGACGAUAUGCUUUGGGGAGCUGUAAGUAAGCUUUGAUCCAGAGAUUUCCGAAUGGGGAAACCCAGCAUGAGUUAUGUCAUGUUAUCGAUAUGUGAAUACAUAGCAUAUCAGAAGGCACACCCGGAGAACUGAAACAUCUUAGUACCCGGAGGAAGAGAAAGAAAAUUCGAUUCCCUUAGUAGCGGCGAGCGAAACGGGAAGAGCCCAAACCAACAAGCUUGCUUGUUGGGGUUGUAGGACACUCUAUACGGAGUUACAAAGGACGACAUUAGACGAAUCAUCUGGAAAGAUGAAUCAAAGAAGGUAAUAAUCCUGUAGUCGAAAAUGUUGUCUCUCUUGAGUGGAUCCUGAGUACGACGGAGCACGUGAAAUUCCGUCGGAAUCUGGGAGGACCAUCUCCUAAGGCUAAAUACUCUCUAGUGACCGAUAGUGAACCAGUACCGUGAGGGAAAGGUGAAAAGCACCCCGGAAGGGGAGUGAAAUAGAACCUGAAACCGUGUGCUUACAAGUAGUCAGAGCCCGUUAAUGGGUGAUGGCGUGCCUUUUGUAGAAUGAACCGGCGAGUUACGAUUUGAUGCAAGGUUAAGCAGUAAAUGUGGAGCCGUAGCGAAAGCGAGUCUGAAUAGGGCGUUUAGUAUUUGGUCGUAGACCCGAAACCAGGUGAUCUACCCUUGGUCAGGUUGAAGUUCAGGUAACACUGAAUGGAGGACCGAACCG